GGAUUCCCCUAGUAAUGGCGAAUGAAGCGGGAACAGCUCAAAUUUGAAAUCUCCGUCGCCUGCGACGGCGAAUUGUAGUUUCUAGAAGCACUUUCUAGGCGAUUCGGGGCCGUCCAAGUUGCUUGGAACAGCACGUCAUAGAGGGUGACAACCCCGUCUGUGGCGGAACCCGGGCGCUGACGAUGUGCUUUCGACGAGUCGGGUUGUUUGGGAAUGCAGCCCAAAAUGGGUGGUAAACUCCAUCUAAAGCUAAAUACUGGCACGAGACCGAUAGCGAACAAGUACCGUGAGGGAAAGAUGAAAAGCACUUUGAAAAGAGAGUUAAAAAGUACGUGAAACCGUUAAAAGGGAAACGAAUGAGGUUAGCAAUGCGCUCUGCGAGAUUCAGCCGGUGGCCGGGCUGGGCGAGCGGUUUGCGGAUCUGAAUGGACCGCGGCCGUUCGGGUCGGUCCCUCGACCGUCGCACUUCUCGCGAGCGCGCGUCAGUGUCGGUUGGAACUGGGUUUUAAAGUCGCCGGGAAGGUAGGUCAGUCCCUCCGGGGUCAGACUGUUAUAGACCGGUGUUCUUAUGGCCCGGAUCCUACCGAGGUGCCGCGGCGCGUGCCUCUUCUGGCUGGGGUCCCGUCGUUCCGGUCGGUAGUCGACUGUGGUGGACUGCGUGCAGUGCAUCGCGACUGCUGCCGGUCGCUUCGGCGGUGACCUCACACAACGCGCCCAGGACGCUGGCGGUGACAUGGCCUCAUCCGACCCGUCUUGAAACACGGACCAAGGAGUCUAACAUGUGCGCGAGUCUUUGAGUGAUCGAAACUCGCAGGCGGAAUGAAAGUGAAGGUGGCUUCCGGCCGCUGAGGUGAGAACCCCUCCUUGCGGGGGGCGCAUCAUCGACCGACCUAUUCUACUCUUAGGAAGGUUGAGUAAGAGCGCAUGCUGUA
RNAcentral lists this ribosomal RNA (932 nucleotides) under Anthopleura krebsi. RNAcentral describes it as "eukaryotic LSU rRNA". It matches the Rfam family "Eukaryotic large subunit ribosomal RNA", at positions 72 to 811 of the family's 3401-position model. Lineage: Eukaryota; Metazoa; Cnidaria; Anthozoa; Actiniaria; Actiniidae. The record is from RNAcentral.